GACGAACGCUGGCGGCGUGCCUAAUACAUGCAAGUCGAGCGGACUUUCAAGAAGCUUGCUUUUUGAAAGUUAGCGGCGGACGGGUGAGUAAUACGUGGGCAACCUGCCUGUAAGACGGGGAUAACUCCGGGAAACCGGGGCUAAUACCGGAUAAUAUCUUUCUUCGCAUGAAGGAAGGUUGAAAGGCGGCGCAAGCUGCCGCUUGCAGAAGGGCCCGCGGCGCAUUAGCUAGUUGGUGAGGUAACGGCUCACCAAGGCGACGAUGCGUAGCCGACCUGAGAGGGUGAUCGGCCACACUGGGACUGAGACACGGCCCAGACUCCUACGGGAGGCAGCAGUAGGGAAUCUUCCGCAAUGGACGAAAGUCUGACGGAGCAACGCCGCGUGAGCGAAGAAGGUCUUCGGAUCGUAAAGCUCUGUUGUCAGGGAAGAACAAGUACCGUUCGAAUAGGGCGGUACCUUGACGGUACCUGACCAGAAAGCCACGGCUAACUACGUGCCAGCAGCCGCGGUAA
This 515-nucleotide ribosomal RNA is filed under the name uncultured bacterium. RNAcentral describes it as "partial 16S ribosomal RNA". It matches the Rfam family "Bacterial small subunit ribosomal RNA", at positions 28 to 523 of the family's 1533-position model. The record is from RNAcentral.